Zingiber officinale is the source of this 151-nucleotide long non-coding RNA. RefSeq lists it as uncharacterized. Lineage: Eukaryota; Viridiplantae; Streptophyta; Magnoliopsida; Zingiberales; Zingiberaceae. The transcript is spliced from 2 exons. The record is from RefSeq and is a predicted model, not a curated record.
AGCUUAUAAUGCAGAUUUUUAUGUAAGCUUAUAGUGCAGAUUUUAAUUAAGCUUGUAAUGCAGAUUUUAAUUAAGCUUAAAGUGCAGAUUAACGUUUUCUACUUCGCGCCGGCCGCAAAUCUGCCACCGGGAAGCCUCAACAAGAACAAGA